Paramuricea clavata is the source of this 484-nucleotide non-coding RNA. NCBI's taxonomy places the organism in Eukaryota, Metazoa, Cnidaria, Anthozoa, Malacalcyonacea, Plexauridae. The record is from the annotation of a GenBank genome assembly.
AAUCCGAUUCCUCCCUGAAACGGAUUAUCCCAGAGCCUCACGUUCCUUCCCGAGGAUCGCAGGCUAGCUCGGGGAACGAGAUUGGGUAGGGUACAGUCCGUAUGUAAACAAAGCCUUUGUUCACAUUACGGUAUUCAAAAUAUUGAACUUUAUUCGACAAUUAUUUAUAUUUUCAUGCUUCUACAGUAUAAUAAAUGAUCAAGAUACAACAAUCAGGCUUUGCAAGAACAUAAAAUGAAAUAAAAACCUAAUUAAAGUGUUUAUAUCACGGCAGGAGACUCCUAUGUGCGCAUGCGCAGACCGGACAGUACCCAUCUUUACUGUUAGGUUGAUAUCAACACGUCACAAGUAUCAGGGUUAGAAUUAUGACUAGAAUGUGAUUAAUGUUAACCGUAGGAUUAGGCUAAGAGUUAGAACCCCAAGGAGUUAGACGUAGGAGUUAGACGUAGGGUUAGGAUAAGGGGGUAGGUUCGGUUAAUUUUUA